RNAcentral lists this long non-coding RNA (600 nucleotides) under Solanum tuberosum (potato). RNAcentral's name for it is "long non-coding RNA (STUB_LNC002600)". The record is from RNAcentral. Lineage: Eukaryota; Viridiplantae; Streptophyta; Magnoliopsida; Solanales; Solanaceae.
CCAAUUCUCUAUCUUCUCUGAUUUCUCUCCAGUUGCGUCUAUAGAUAUGGUUAAGCCAUGGUUAUGGAGUAUUCUUCACAUGGUAUCAGAGCGCGAGGUAUUUCGAUUCGUAUGUGUUUCCAUACAUUGUCUUCGUCUUUUGUUCUGCUCCUGUGUUGUAUUCUGAUCGUUUGCUAGAUCGAGUUUUUGGAUCCAUUUUACUUUCCGCUGCAUUUCUUCACUCAGAUCGAUUCAUCUCUUUUGUGAGUUUUUUUUAAAAUUGAAUUACUAUGGUGAUUGAAAGUGGUUCUUCUUCGAAUGAUAAUAUUGUGAAUAACAAUGGUGUUGGUAGUGAAGAUCUUAGUUCUCCUUUGUAUAUGCACCCUUCGGAUAACCCAAGUGCCUCGUUGGUUCAAGCUCCUUUUGAUGGAGUAGGGUAUAAAUCAUGGAAACAAAGUGUUCUUAGAGUUUUAUCAGUUAAGAAUAAGCUAGGCUUUAUCAAUGGUGAUUGUAAAAGGCCCGAUCCAGGCACAUCACGAUUCCGUCAAUGGGGAAGAUAUGAUGACAUGGCUACUUCCUGGAUUCUCAAUUCUCUGUCAAAGGAAAUUGCAGAAAGUGUGG